GUGAGUAGUUCAGAGUUUGAUCCUGGCUCAGGAUGAACGCUGGCGGCGUGCUUAACACAUGCAAGUCGAACGGACUUUACAUGAAGCCUAGCGAUUGUAAAGUUAGUGGCGGACGGGUGAGUAACGCGUGAAUAACCUGCCUUAUACUGGGGGACAACAGUUGGAAACGACUGCUAAUACCGCAUAAGCGCACUAAAGCUGCAUGGCUCAGUGUGAAAAACUCCGGUGGUAUAAGAUGGAUUCGCGUCUGAUUAGCUAGUUGGUGAGGUAACGGCUCACCAAGGCGACGAUCAGUAGCCGGCCUGAGAGGGUGAACGGCCACAUUGGGACUGAGACACGGCCCAA
RNAcentral lists this ribosomal RNA (345 nucleotides) under uncultured bacterium. RNAcentral's name for it is "bacterial SSU rRNA". It matches the Rfam family "Bacterial small subunit ribosomal RNA", at positions 1 to 334 of the family's 1533-position model. The record is from RNAcentral.